ACACUCCUACGGGAGGCAGCAGUGGGGAAUAUUGCACAAUGGGCGCAAGCCUGAUGCAGCCAUGCCGCGUGUAUGAAGAAGGCCUUCGGGUUGUAAAGUACUUUCAGCGGGGAGGAAGGCGAUAAGGUUAAUAACCUUGUCGAUUGACGUUAACCGCAGAAGAAGCACCGGCUAACUCCGUGCCAGCAGCCGCGGUAAUACGGAGGGUGCAAGCGUUAAUCGGAAUUACUGGGCGUAAAGCGCACGCAGGCGGUCUGUCAAGUCGGAUGUGAAAUCCCCGGGCUCAACCUGGGAACUGCAUUCGAAACUGGCAGGCUAGAGUCUUGUAGAGGGGGGUAGAAUUCCAGGUGUAGCGGUGAAAUGCGUAGAGAUCUGGAGGAAUACCGGUGGCGAAGGCGGUCCCCUGGACAAAGACUGACGCUCAGGUGCGAAAGCGUGGGGAGCAAACAGGAUUAGAUACCCCAGUAGUCCCA
Molecule: ribosomal RNA, 473 nt
Filed under: uncultured organism
Description: partial 16S ribosomal RNA
Rfam family: Bacterial small subunit ribosomal RNA
Source: RNAcentral